Molecule: ribosomal RNA, 504 nt
Filed under: uncultured bacterium
Lineage: Bacteria
Description: partial 16S ribosomal RNA
Rfam family: Bacterial small subunit ribosomal RNA
Source: RNAcentral
AUUGAACGCUGGCGGCAUGCCUUACACAUGCAAGUCGAACGGCAGCAUGGAGAGCUUGCUCUCUGAUGGCGAGUGGCGAACGGGUGAGUAAUGCAUCGGAACGUACCGUGUAAUGGGGGAUAACGUAGCGAAAGUUACGCUAAUACCGCAUACGACCUGAGGGUGAAAGCAGGGGAGCGCAAGACCUUGCGUUAUACGAGCGGCCGAUGUCAGAUUAGCUAGUUGGUGAGGUAAAGGCUCACCAAGGCGACGAUCUGUAGCGGGUCUGAGAGGAUGAUCCGCCACACUGGGACUGAGACACGGCCCAGACUCCUACGGGAGGCAGCAGUGGGGAAUUUUGGACAAUGGGGGCAACCCUGAUCCAGCCAUGCCGCGUGAGUGAAGAAGGCCUUCGGGUUGUAAAGCUCUUUCGGCCUGGAAGAAAUCGCACAGGCUAAUACUCUGUGUGGAUGACGGUACCGGCAUAAGAAGCACCGGCUAACUACGUGCCAGCCGCCGCGGUAA